GGGGUUGUGGCUCAGUGGUAGAGCACUUGCCUAGCAUGCAUGAGGCACUGGGCUCGAUUCCUGGCACCA
Molecule: transfer RNA, 69 nt
Filed under: Ictidomys tridecemlineatus (thirteen-lined ground squirrel)
Lineage: Eukaryota; Metazoa; Chordata; Mammalia; Rodentia; Sciuridae
Description: Spermophilus tridecemlineatus (thirteen-lined ground squirrel) tRNA
Rfam family: tRNA
About the family: Transfer RNA (tRNA) molecules are approximately 80 nucleotides in length. Their secondary structure includes four short double-helical elements and three loops (D, anti-codon, and T loops). Further hydrogen bonds mediate the characteristic L-shaped molecular structure. tRNAs have two regions of fundamental functional importance: the anti-codon, which is responsible for specific mRNA codon recognition, and the 3' end, to which the tRNAs corresponding amino acid is attached (by aminoacyl-tRNA synthetases). tRNAs cope with the degeneracy of the genetic code in two manners: having more than one tRNA (with a specific anti-codon) for a particular amino acid; and 'wobble' base-pairing, i.e. permitting non-standard base-pairing at the 3rd anti-codon position.
Source: Rfam by way of RNAcentral